UGUCAACCUUGAGCCUAGGUAUCCACA
This 27-nucleotide non-coding RNA is filed under the name Homo sapiens (human). The record is from RNAcentral. Lineage: Eukaryota; Metazoa; Chordata; Mammalia; Primates; Hominidae.